UGGGGAAUAUUGCACAAUGGGGGAAACCCUGAUGCAGCGACGCCGCGUGAGCGAAGAAGGUUUUCGAAUCGUAAAGCCCUGUCCUAUGAGAAGAUAAUGACGGUAUCAUAGGAGGAAGCCCCGGCUAAAUACGUGCCAGCAGCCGUGGUAAUACGUAUGGGGCGAGCGUUGUCCGGAAUUAUUGGGCGUAAAGGGUACGUAGGCGGUCUAUUAAGUCAGGUGUGAAAGCGUGAGGCUUAACCUCAUUAAGCACUUGAAACUGAUAGACUUGAGUGAAGGAGAGGAAAGUGGAAUUCCUAGUGUAGCGGUGAAAUGCGUAGAUAUUAGGAGGAAUACCGGUGGCGAAGGCGACUUUCUGGACUUUUACUGACGCUCAGGUACGAAAGCGUGGGGAGCAAACAGG
RNAcentral lists this ribosomal RNA (403 nucleotides) under Verrucomicrobiota bacterium. RNAcentral's name for it is "Verrucomicrobia bacterium partial 16S ribosomal RNA". It matches the Rfam family "Bacterial small subunit ribosomal RNA", at positions 355 to 776 of the family's 1533-position model. The record is from RNAcentral. Lineage: Bacteria; Pseudomonadati; Verrucomicrobiota.